AGGGCCACAGCUCCGGGGGUAGAGCACCUGCUUUGCAUGCAGAAGUUCUCUGGUUCAAUCCCCAAUGGCCUCA
Podarcis lilfordi (Lilford's wall lizard) is the source of this 73-nucleotide non-coding RNA. The record is from the annotation of a GenBank genome assembly. Lineage: Eukaryota; Metazoa; Chordata; Lepidosauria; Squamata; Lacertidae.